Molecule: ribosomal RNA, 719 nt
Filed under: Neobacillus notoginsengisoli
Lineage: Bacteria; Bacillati; Bacillota; Bacilli; Caryophanales; Bacillaceae
Description: Bacillus notoginsengisoli partial 23S ribosomal RNA
Rfam family: Bacterial large subunit ribosomal RNA
Source: RNAcentral
GACCCGUAAUCCGGGUUGCGGACAGUGUCUGGUGGGUAGUUUGACUGGGGCGGUCUCCUCCUAAAGCGUAACGGAGGAGCACGAAGGUUAGCUAAUCACGGUCGGACAUCGUGAGGUUAGUGCAAAGGCAUAAGCUAGCUUGACUGCGAGAGUGACGGCUCGAGCAGGUGCGAAAGCAGGUCUUAGUGAUCCGGUGGUUCUGAAUGGAAGGGCCAUCGCUCAACGGAUAAAAGGUACUCCGGGGAUAACAGGCUGAUACCGCCCAAGAGUUCAUAUCGACGGCGGUGUUUGGCACCUCGAUGUCGGCUCAUCACAUCCUGGGGCUGAAGUCGGUCCCAAGGGUAUGGCUGUUCGCCAUUUAAAGUGGUACGCGAGCUGGGUUUAGAACGUCGUGAGACAGUUCGGUCCCUAUCUGCCGUGGGCGCUGGAGAAUUGAGGGGGGCUGCUCCUAGUACGAGAGGACCGGAGUGGACGCAUCACUGGUGUUCGGGUUGUCAUGCCAAUGGCAUUGCCCGGUAGCUAAAUGCGGAAAAGAUAAGCGCUGAAAGCAUCUAAGCGCGAAACUUGCCCCGAGAUGAGUUCUCCCUGACUCCUUGAGAGUCCUGAAGGAACGUUGAAGACUACGACGUUGAUAGGCUGGGUGUGUAAGCGUAGCGAUACGUUGAGCUAACCAGUACUAAUGAUCCGUGAGGCUUAACCUUACAACACCGAAGGUGUUU